GGUAAAAUUUCGAUCGAAUUGAUAUCUAUUCAACGAUGACAUUAUCAUUCAUGCCAAUUCAAAGUUUACAUUGAUUAAUACCAUAUGAUAUUGCUUUUUAUUUUUUCAAAAUAAAAAAAAAAUCAAAAUUUUUAAAAUAAAAUGGAGAAGCCUAGUUUCUUUGUAGAAUGCCAAUUCCUUCCAAGCUCGACACCCCCCCGUCCCUUCACGCACUCGAUUAAUUUUUUACUCCGAUUCAAUCUUGCUCUCGAUAUUAUGGAGAUAGGUAUGGAGAGCUUUCUUCUUCACCUCGAGAACCAAGACUUCUAAAUAUUGACAUCCAGCAUCAUAACCUCAGACUAUAUAAAACUUCACUCUAAAUACCUUCCCCAUCUUUUGUUAUAUUGGUAGACAAUAAUUUCUAUUUACAAGAGAACUCGAGAUACAAACCUCACAUACUCCACAUACUAUACUAUUUUAUGCUUUCUAUGGAAUAUAAUUAUUGCUCCUUACAACUCGCACUUGCUCCAUUUGAUAAACCCUAAUUUCCAAUUUUCUUGAGACAUAACCAUUUCUCUAACAGUUCCAAUCCCCAUGCUCACUUCACCUCCGAAUCUUUGCAUUGCCUAUGUCCCCCCAUAUGCAUAACCUUUCCACUUGGGUAAUAUCAUAGAGCUCUUGAUGGAGUUAGGAACCACAGAACAGAAAUUUAACUCACUGGAAUGACUAGCUGGGGGAAAUAAGAGGACAGAAGAAUUCAGUGGAAAUCAAGAGUCUGAUCUCGUAGCUGUAAAGGAUGAAAGAAGACCUGCAGCUUGGGCAGGUAAAAUAUCACCAAACGUUGACAUGGCAGCUGCUGAUCGGUCUUUGAAUAUCCCUACUUGCCCAUCAGUUAAUAUGGAUCCCAACUUUAGGGUGCUCUCCCCAAACCUGCUGCCAACUUGCAUAAAGGACUUCAAAAUUGGUGCUGCUACACCAAAACUUGAGUUGUCAUCCAAGCUGAUCUUCUGUGAAAACUCCCCAUUGGUAUAGGCUUUCCAGGAACUUCUUGAGGAGAUAUCAUCUGAAGCUGCAGGAAUGGAUGUCUUAGGUGUUCCUCUGGAAGAUAAUGCUGGCGCACUGAUUGGAAGGUAUUUGAAACGAGGAACAAUUGAGCAUCUCAUUAUAUUUGACUCUGGAUUAGAAGGAAGUUUCUGCACGGUAUCUGUGUACAUCCGAUUCAGUUGCACAAAGAAUCCAAAGAGGACUGCAUGUCGUAGGUAUGACUGUCUCUCAUUCUCCCAGAGAUAUGGCUCAUACGUUAGCCAGUCUAUUGGAUCCAAUUUUUGUGAAAAACGGUUAAUUAACUCCUCAAUACGCUCUCUAAAGACCGACUUUGUUUGGCUUUGCCCCUGCUUCCUUCUGAAAGAAACCUUCAUCAUAGGACUUUUAGAUAAGUCCUCAUUUAUAUUGGAUUCACUGCCAGAAAGAACAUCUGCAGCAAAUUUUAGAUCUAAAAGAAUUUGAAGAACUCCUUUCUCUGACACUUGAGAUGCAUGAGAACCUCUACCGGAAAGGAAAUCCUCAUAAAUUUCAAUAAGCUUUUCCAGUAGUCGUAGUGCAAAUUUUU
This 1588-nucleotide unclassified non-coding RNA is filed under the name Hevea brasiliensis (rubber tree). Lineage: Eukaryota; Viridiplantae; Streptophyta; Magnoliopsida; Malpighiales; Euphorbiaceae. The record is from RNAcentral.